UGGGCUUGACAAUUAUAACUCUAGGAUGUUUCAUAUACCAUACUUGGCUACAUCUGUUGUGGAAAAGAGGGAUGAUGUCAUUUUUUUCACCUCUUUCUGUAAAUAGAAUUUAUGUAGCACAUGUGGGCUUCCUCAAGAGAAAUUUAAAACCCCAAAUUGAUGGGAUGGUGAGACCUACCACCUCUCUCAAGCAUGUGUCUCUCCAAGUGACACACAUAAGACACUAUUUAAAGCAUGUACUUUGGAUGUGUGAGCCACUGCUCCUGGCCUUGCAGUUUUUAUAGUAUAAGUUGUCUCAGUCCGUUUUGUAUUGCUGUAAAGCAGGGGUCCCCAACCCCUGGGCCUAUUAGGAAUGG
Homo sapiens (human) is the source of this 356-nucleotide long non-coding RNA. Lineage: Eukaryota; Metazoa; Chordata; Mammalia; Primates; Hominidae. The record is from Ensembl.